GAUGAACGCUGGCGGCGUGCUUAACACAUGCAAGUCGAACGAUGAAGCCCAGCUUGCUGGGUGGAUUAGUGGCGAACGGGUGAGUAACACGUGAGUAACCUGCCCUUAACUCUGGGAUAAGCCUGGGAAACUGGGUCUAAUACCGGAUAGGAGCGUCCACCGCAUGGUGGGUGUUGGAAAGAUUUAUCGGUUUUGGAUGGACUCGCGGCCUAUCAGCUUGUUGGUGAGGUAAUGGCUCACCAAGGCGACGACGGGUAGCCGGCCUGAGAGGGUGACCGGCCACACUGGGACUGAGACACGGCCCAGACUCCUACGGGAGGCAGCAGUGGGGAAUAUUGCACAAUGGGCGAAAGCCUGAUGCAGCGACGCCGCGUGAGGGAUGACUGCCUUCGGGUUGUAAACCUCUUUCAGUAGGGAAGAAGCGAAAGUGACGGUACCUGCAGAAGAAGCACCGGCUAACUACGUG
Molecule: ribosomal RNA, 466 nt
Filed under: uncultured bacterium
Lineage: Bacteria
Description: partial 16S ribosomal RNA
Rfam family: Bacterial small subunit ribosomal RNA
Source: RNAcentral